UGCAGUCGAGCGCCACCUUCGGAGUGAGCGGCGGACGGGUUAGUAACGCGUGGGAACGUGCCCUUCUCUAAGGAAUAGCCACUGGAAACGGUGAGUAAUACCUUAUACGCCCUUCGGGGGAAAGAUUUAUCGGAGAAGGAUCGGCCCGCGUUAGAUUAGAUAGUUGGUGGGGUAACGGCCUACCAAGUCUACGAUCUAUAGCUGGUUUUAGAGGAUGAUCAGCAACACUGGGACUGAGACACGGCCCAGACUCCUACGGGAGGCAGCAGUGGGGAAUCUUGGACAAUGGGCGCAAGCCUGAUCCAGCCAUGCCGCGUGAGUGAUGAAGGCCUUAGGGUCGUAAAGCUCUUUCGCCAGAGAUGAUAAUGACAGUAUCUGGUAAAGAAACCCCGGCUAACUCCGUGCCAGCAGCCGCGGUAAUACGGAGGGGGUUAGCGUUGUUCGGAAUUACUGGGCGUAAAGCGCACGUAGGCGGAUCAGAAAGUUGGGGGUGAAAUCCCAGGGCUCAACCCUGGAACUGCCUCCAAAACUCCUGGUCUUGAGUUCGAGAGAGGUGAGUGGAAUUCCGAGUGUAGAGGUGAAAUUCGUAGAUAUUCGGAGGAACACCAGUGGCGAAGGCGGCUCACUGG
This 629-nucleotide ribosomal RNA is filed under the name uncultured bacterium. RNAcentral describes it as "bacterial SSU rRNA". It matches the Rfam family "Bacterial small subunit ribosomal RNA", at positions 56 to 732 of the family's 1533-position model. The record is from RNAcentral.